Corythoichthys intestinalis (scribbled pipefish) is the source of this 4539-nucleotide long non-coding RNA. RefSeq lists it as uncharacterized. The record is from RefSeq and is a predicted model, not a curated record. Lineage: Eukaryota; Metazoa; Chordata; Actinopteri; Syngnathiformes; Syngnathidae. The transcript has 3 exons.
UCUGUUUGGUCUUAUUAAUGUCACGUCCCCAGCAAAAUUUUUUACAUGCAGUUUAUGCUGUUAUAUCGUUCCUACCAAUGUUGACACCAAACCUACGCCCUUGAUGACAGGUGAGUUAUUUUCUCCACUGAAAUUUUUAAACUCACUGAAUUAUUGACUUAUUUACAAACGGGUUGGUUUCUAACGUGGCUUUUGGGGGAGAGUCUGUGUAUGUUUCGUCCAUUCGUUUUUGUGGUGGAUGGGGAUUUUUGUUUUUUACUUAAGUAAAAGUACAGCACUGUAACCAUAGGCAGAGUUUGACUUUUGGGGCAAGGGGGGCACAACACGUUGAUGAUUCCGAAUAAACUGUAUGUAUUUGAAAACAUUUUCAAAACCGAAGAGGAAAUAUUUACCUGAUAUCUUGAUAUUAAUAUAUAUUAAUAUAUUAUUUCUGACCAGAAUUGGAAUACAGUAUAUUUUAUAUAUUGCUUUUGACGCCAUUUAUACAGCUAGCGUUUGCGCAUGCGCGCUAUCGGUUCGCGACCCGGAAGUAGAACAAAGCGGAAAAGGAAACGACAUUCUGAUUUGUUUGGCGUGUUUUUGUUUAUUUGUUUCUUUUUCUUUCUUUCUUUUUUUUUUUUUGUAAAUGUCUUUUACGCAUAAUCCAGUACCAUAUAUUAAGAAGAUUACCACACUCCCAUAUGGAUCCAUUAUACGAUUUUACUUCCGAGUUUUAGUGGGUAGUGGAGCCACGGUUAGUUCCAAACAUGGCUUCGACGUGGGAGGACUGCAUUCAUACGAAUGGCUUGCUGUAAAGUGUAUUCGGAGGUCACAUUUUCAGGAUCCACAUCAAGCUGUUGUUGGUGCCUGCUGAAGGUGACUGCUGGCUGUGGGCACUAAGCCUAUUUUUAAAUAGCAACAAACAAACAAAAAAAGCCGUUAAUUUCAUGUUUUGAUGACCAUUGCCAUCCAUUUUUUCUACUGCUCUUGGUCCUUGGGGAAACUAUGCUGCACAACCAACCAUCACAGGCCACCGAUCUCUAAAAUGUUAGGUGUAAACAAUGAACCAUGACACCAAUUUUUGGGAAACAAGUGUUUUUAUAUGUCAAUGCGACAAAACAAACUUGGAACUACCAUUUAGAACGAGGGAACAAAGUAUGUUAUACAUGACGUUAUCUUGAACUAAUUUGCUCCCAAAAACGUAAAAAUAUGUUCAAUUUUAAUUGUUUCAGUGUCCCAAAGACGUAUGUAUACAUCUUUUACGUUUUUUUUUCCCCAAAAGAGACAUCUCUGGGUUCUGAUUCAAUUUAGCUCCAAAACACAAAACUGAAAAUCCAUUUUAAAGCAAUAAAACUGGCCACUGGAGGGCAGUAGCGCAUUUGAUAAGACCCGCAACCAGAUUGAACUGCAACGAACGGCCAAGCCGAAGACGACCGAAUGGAUGCCAGGCGGCGGACGACUGAGCAGAACAACCGGUAGGAUGCCCGGGAUGCCAGACGCUGGACGACCGAGCAGAACAACCGGGACCACAAGUGCAGCGGACGAUGCCUUUGAGUGCAUGCUGCUUGUGAGCAGAGCCCGCAGAGACUCAAAAAACUUUAUGAAACAGGCGGCGAUGAGGGAAAAGUUUAACCGGCUGUCGCGGCCGGAACAGCGUCAUCUUUCAGUUAUGUGUAAAUAAAUUGUUUGCUAUCAAAAGCUCUAUUUGUCUUGUUGCUUAUCUUAUUUUGUAAAAGGAAAACAUUAUUAAGAUGUUUGGGAUGUACCUACAGCAAAAAAUAGCUGUGUUAAAGUCAAAGUUAUGUUUGAAAUGUAUGCUUUCACAAAAAGCUCAAUUUCUCUGUUUUUUUCAUCAGAAAUUGGAAAAUUGCUCAAACUAAGCUAUUUUCUAAUGCUGAUUUCUAAAUAGUGGAAAAAGAUAUGGACUAACUUUUUUUCUGCUGAAAGAAGGGAGUGUAAUCUUUCGGUGAGUUCCAUGUUUAUAUAGCAAUAGAAAAGAAUUUUCUGUGGGCCUUGCAACAUCAGUCAAAAUCCAGUAAAAUGGCCGGGAGCAAACCCAAACCCUUGCUCCGGUGAAAAUGGCUGGGAGUGAAUGACUUAAUAUAUUACCACAGGUAGGUGAAUCAAGGAAAUCUAGACAUUCUUUGGAAAAACAGUAUUGUAGUUGUGAAAAAAGAAAAACCUAAAUCAUCUUUCAUUUCAAUGUAAAAGUCAAUUUCCCGUGCUAAUUCUAACAGAAACAUGAAACUUUCACUCCACAACAUGGGAAAUUUCCCUUCUGCGUAAGAGUUUACAUAGUUUUCAGUUGUCGCUUGACCACUCCAAAUGUAAAACUAGCACUUACAUAUAUGUCAUAGUGUAAUGACAAACAAGUACUUGGAUAUGAUUUUAUCCAUUUUUGUAUAAAUGUCACAAUUACCGCUGUCAGUUCCAUUGCAAACCGCUACAGCGCUGCUUGUGCUUGGAACUACUCACGCCCCGCAUGAAUCACGUGACCACCGGCGUUGAGGACAAAGAGUGUCGCGAGCAAAAGUCUUGACCAAGAUCAGAUCAAUUCAUUUGGCGCACAUCUAAAAUCUGAUGAACCGAAAUCCGGGCAUGAAUGACGUCACCAGCCACAGCUGCGCCGCCAUAUUGAAGAGGGGGCAAAACACGAGUCACAAGCAGCUGCUCUGUCGUUCAUUGUAGUACAAACGCGUUGAACUUUUGUCUUAUUUGCGGUCUUUUUUUCCGUCGGAAUGACUAAAAGUUGCUGUGUUGCAGGUUGUAACAAGGAAGAGUUCGGAGCCGCGUUUGAAGUUCUUCAUUCUUCCUCGUGAGAAGAAAAGGAGAAGCAAAUGGCUGAAAGCGAUCAAUCGAAGAGUAAAAGAAGAUGGUUCCGUGGACCCUUCUCGCCUGUGGGAACCUAAAUCUAGGCACAUUUACGUUUGCAGCAAACAUUUUUUUACUAGUGAGUAAACUUUAAUCGAUUCCCCCGCCAAUUAGCUGCUAGGAUUCAAUAGACUAGGCAGUGGUUAUGAUUACCGUAACCGACAACUUGCAAAGCGUUAUUCUUUUGACGUGAACUGCUCUUGACCAAUCGGUAUGUUAUUGGCCUCAUGGGAAUUAGUUAUUUUGCCGUGACGUGACUCAUGCACUACGGUCUUGCCUCGUGACCCCAUAGGCGAAGUUUGAUUUUUGGGGCAGGUUGGCACCACAUCUUGAUGACCCCAAAAUGCCGUGUCAGCAAUAAAAUUAACUUAGAAGAAUAUUGAUAAUAAUAAGUUGACAUUGAGCGUUUUUUCUUUCCCAUCAUCAUUCUUUUAGGAAAACUCAAUUUUUGACUUUUUUGUACAGGGGGGUGCUUACGCGUUAUUUCAAAAUGUUAUAAAACGGUCAAAAAACGCUUUUGGGCCAGAGAGCGCCGGGAAACGUUCCAAAAACCCGUCAGGACUCUCGGCACAGCCCAAAUAUGCAAAACAAUUUGACUUUUGGGGAAAGUCAAUUUUUGACUUUUUCGUAAGGGGUGGUGGUUACGCAUUUUUUCAAAAUUUCAAAAACGGUCAAAAAAUACUUUGGGGCCAGGGAGCGCCGGGAAACGUUCCAAAAACCCAUCAGGACUCUCGGCACAGCCCAAAUAUGCAAAAAAAGUGGACUUUUGGGGAAAGUCAAUUUUUGACUUUUUCGUAAGGGGGGGUGGUUACGCAUUUUUUCAAAAUUUCAAAAACGGUCAAAAAAUACUUUCGGGCCAAGGAGCGCCGGGAAACGUUCCAAAAACCCGUCAGGACUCUCGGCACAGCCCAAAUAUGCAAAACAAUUCGACUUUUGGGGAAAGUCCAUUUUUGACUUUUUCGUAAGGGGGGGUGGUUACGCAUUUUUUCAAAAUUUCAAAAACGGUCAAAAAAUACUUUCGGGCCAGGGAGCACCGGGAAACGUUCCAAAAACCCGUCGGGACUCUCGGCACAGCCCAAAUAUGCAAAAAAAUUCAACUUUUGGGAAAAGUCAAUUUUUGACUUUUUCGUAAGGGGGUUGGUUACGCAUUUUUUCAAAAUUUCAAAAACGGUCAAAAAAUACUUUCGGGCCAGGGAGCGCCGGGAAACGUUCCAAAAACCCGUGAGGACUCUCGGCACAGCCCAAAUAUUCAAAAAAAGUGGACAUUUGGGGAAAGUCAAUUUUUGACUUUUUCGUAAGGGGGGGUGGUUACCUAUUUUUUCAAAAUUUCAAAAACGGUCAAAAAAUACUUUCGGGCCAGGGAGCGCCGGGAAACGUUCCAAAAACCCGUCAGGACUCUCGGCACAGCCCAAAUAUGCAAAAAAAUUCAACUUUUGGGAAAAGUCAAUUUUUGACUUUUUCGUAAGGGGGGGUGGUUACGCAUUUUUUCAAAAUUUCAAAAACGGUCAAAAAAUACUUUUGGGCCAGGAAGCGCCGGGAAACGUUCCAAAAACUCGUCAGGACUCUCGGCACAGCCCAAAUAUGCAAAAAAAGUGGACUUUUGGGGAAAGUCAAUUUUUGACUUUUUCGUAAGGGGGGGUGGUUACGCAUUUUUUCAAAAUUUCAAAAACGGUCAAAAAAUACUUUCGG